CCGAAAUUUCUAUUCAGGCAACAAGCGAAUUAGGGGAACAUACAGUGACGCCAACAAAUGGGCUUCCACCUGCCUAAAAAACCUUGGAUAGAAGGGCCGGGCAAGACCGGUGCCAGCCGCCGCGGUAAUACCGGCGGCUCGAGUGGUGGCCGCUAUUAUUGGGUUAAAGGUUCGUAGCGGCUUGUAAGUCUCCUUGGAAAUUCCGCGGUAACUGUAGGGCUUCCAGGGGAUACUGCAUUGCUAGGGACCGGGAGAGGAGAGAUUC
RNAcentral lists this ribosomal RNA (265 nucleotides) under uncultured archaeon. RNAcentral's name for it is "partial 16S rRNA". It matches the Rfam family "Archaeal small subunit ribosomal RNA", at positions 341 to 616 of the family's 1478-position model. The record is from RNAcentral.